Long non-coding RNA from Solanum dulcamara, 1521 nucleotides. RefSeq lists it as uncharacterized. The transcript is spliced from 3 exons. NCBI's taxonomy places the organism in Eukaryota, Viridiplantae, Streptophyta, Magnoliopsida, Solanales, Solanaceae. The record is from RefSeq and is a predicted model, not a curated record.
UGACAGGCCAAACUAAAUAGUGAAUUCGGCCCAACCCAAUUCUAAUUCGGGUCAGGCCCAAUACCUACGAAAUUAGAUCUGAUUUUUUGUAACUAUUCCUUCAAACUUUAGACCAACAUAAUUCUGGAAAUUUCCAGAGAGAGAGAGAAAGGGAGUUCUUGAGAGAAAUCCCAAAUCCGACCAAAAUUCAAGUCCCGAAAUCCGAAGCUCAUGAAGAGAAAAUUGUUGUACGUCGCGUUGGCUUCAAUUUGAGCUAGAAAUCAGCCAAUAAGGAGAAGAUUUUAUGUGGUGCUGCAAAUUUAAGGUUGAGACAAUAUUGGACAACAUAUACGUAUAAACGCUAAAGGUACAAAUACUCAUUUUGGAGAGCCGCCAACUUAGGAUUCUACUCAACGAGUUUGAAGUGCUCCAUUGUCUCGGAGCCCAAACUUUGGGUACUAAUCCUUAUAAUGUAUAUAUUUGUGUAUUUAGGGGUACGACGGGGCCCUGUCCCGUCAUAUGCUAUUGUUAAUUCUCUUAGAGGUCUGUAGACAUAUGAGUGGGUUGUAUAUAGAUGUUGUCCGGUGUACUAGUAUGACUUAUGUUUUUGGACGUUUACAUUCAGAAUGGAAGCCUUGUCGGCUUACAUAUUAUGUUAUCUUAUUUUUGACAAUUAAGACUCCCCAAGAAAUAGGUGAUUUUAGUAUAUAUAUAAGUAACAGUUUGAGACAACGUGCUACCCAUAUAAAUCCUUUAUCAUGCUUAAUUGCCGAUUGACUAUAGAUAAUAUGUGUGUAUACGAGGGUCCAAUUUGGACACUAGUCACGGGGCUAGGUCGUGACAAAAGUGGUAUCAGAGCAGUUCAUCCUCGGAGUGUCUACAGACCGUGUCUAGUAGAGUCUUGUUUAUCGGUGUGUUGUGCACCACAUCUAUAAACAGGAGGCUACAGGACAUUUAGGACGUUGCCUUUCUUUCAUAUCUAAGAUCGUGCGAUAGAGCCCAGCCGUAGGACAUGAAAUUCUUUUUUUCUAUCUUUUGAUUUCAGCUGAAGAACGACAUCGAUAGAAGAAAACGAUUGAUGAUAUUGGAAGCUACACAAUAUACGGGUAAGUAAUGAUGCGAAAGAGGUAUGGUGGAUAAGGUAAGCAUAUUGAAGUAUGAUUGAAAUGUAAAGUUGAAAAUUGAAAGAAAAAGUAGACAUGAAAGUGUAACAGGUGCAGUUCGAGUCGGACAUAAGAGGUAAGUCCAUCAUUUUCAUACUGUUGUUGAUAUUGGGUGCCCUGUGUGGCUGCGAUAUGAUAUGAAUAUAUAUAUGUUGAACCUGUGAGGCAUUGUUGGUAUUUUCUGCGUGCAGAUUUUGAGAUAGUAAGAAAUACAGAGGAAACUCUGCCCAUUUUUUUUUUCAGAAAAAAAAAAAGAAGAGAAAGUGGGACAUAAGUUCAUAAUAUAUUUUGAAGGUUGAUAACCAUGAGGUAAAUUUAUUGUGUUGUAGUAAAGAGUUAAGAAAUACCCCAAUGUCAUCAUUAAGGGACACCAUUUUUA